This 556-nucleotide ribosomal RNA is filed under the name uncultured bacterium. RNAcentral's name for it is "bacterial SSU rRNA". It matches the Rfam family "Bacterial small subunit ribosomal RNA", at positions 112 to 714 of the family's 1533-position model. The record is from RNAcentral.
AACGCGUGGGAAUAUGCCCUUCUGUUGAGGAUAGCCCUGGGAAACUGGGAGUNAUACUCGAUACGCCCUACGGGGGAAGGAAGGAUUAGCCCGCGUUAGAUUAGGUAGUUGGUGAGGUAAUGGCUCACCAAGCCUACNAUCUAUAGCUGGUUUUAGAGGAUGAUCAGCCACACUGGGACUGAGACACGGNCCAGACUCCUACGGGAGGCAGCNGUGGGGAAUCUUANACAAUGGGCGCAAGCCUGAUCUAGCCAUGCCGCGUGAGUGAUGAAGGCCUUAGGGUCGUAAAGCUCUUUCGCCAGGGAUGAUAAUGACAGUACCUGGUAAAGAAACCCCGGCUAACUCCGUGCCAGCAGCCGCGGUAAUACGGAGGGGGUUAGCGUUGUUCGGAAUUACUGGGCGUAAAGCGCGCGUAGGCGGACCANAAAGUAUGGGGUGAAAUCCCGGGGCUCAACCCCGGAACUGCCUCAUAAACUCCUGGUCUUGAGUUCGAGAGAGGUGAGUGGAAUUCCGAGUGUAGAGGUGAAAUUCGUANAUNUUCGGAGGAACACCNGUG